UCCUCUUUAGUUCAAUGGACAGAACACGGGUCUUCUAAACCCACGAUAUAGGUUCGAUUCCUAUAAGGGGAGCCA
Molecule: transfer RNA, 75 nt
Filed under: Clostridiales bacterium
Lineage: Bacteria; Bacillati; Bacillota; Clostridia; Eubacteriales
Description: tRNA-Arg
Rfam family: tRNA
About the family: Transfer RNA (tRNA) molecules are approximately 80 nucleotides in length. Their secondary structure includes four short double-helical elements and three loops (D, anti-codon, and T loops). Further hydrogen bonds mediate the characteristic L-shaped molecular structure. tRNAs have two regions of fundamental functional importance: the anti-codon, which is responsible for specific mRNA codon recognition, and the 3' end, to which the tRNAs corresponding amino acid is attached (by aminoacyl-tRNA synthetases). tRNAs cope with the degeneracy of the genetic code in two manners: having more than one tRNA (with a specific anti-codon) for a particular amino acid; and 'wobble' base-pairing, i.e. permitting non-standard base-pairing at the 3rd anti-codon position.
Source: RNAcentral